Molecule: non-coding RNA, 4110 nt
Organism: Ictidomys tridecemlineatus (thirteen-lined ground squirrel)
Lineage: Eukaryota; Metazoa; Chordata; Mammalia; Rodentia; Sciuridae
Source: RefSeq, a predicted model, not a curated record
GCCUUGAACCUGGAGUCACUGUGGCAGGGCCAUCAGCCUUGAACCUGGAGUCACUGUGGCACGGCCGUCAGCCUUGAACCUGGAGUCACUGUGGCACAGCCAUCAGCCUUGAACCUGGAGUCACUGUGGCACGGCCAUCAGCCUUGAACAGGGAGUGCCACAAAUGAUGGGAAGGUCCAGUCAGCUCAGAUAACCAGAAAGUAAACACAAUACAAAACGCGUUCCAGUAAUAAAAUGGAAACAACUAAACAUGGAAAGAACUCAGCAGGUACCAAAGGAAAUGGAUGUGAAAUGAUGACCUUGGGCACAUAAAACUACGGGUCUCAGCGCUCUGGUCAAAGAGGCGAAGUCGGUUAAAAGGCAAGAGAAUGGGUGGUCACCUGUGUCUCCUGAAGAGCACAGCAGCAGAGCAGCGUUUCUCAGAGCUCCAGGAGGCAAGCCUGAACCCCAGAUGGACCUGCCCAUCUACCCUGGACCCGCUAGGUGAUGGACUGUCCCCGAUCCCAGGGGAGAUGGUGGGCUUGUCCCUCCUGAGCCCGCCGCCGGCUGACCUCCUCCAGCCCUGCCAGCCCUGGGGAGACGCGCCCUAAAAGCUGCAGGUAGCAAGAGCUCCGCAGAGAAGAGAGGAACCGGGUCACCAAGGGCAGUGUGCAGCCACCACCUGGCAGGCAAAGCAUCAGCACCACAGCAUCUGGUCCACGCCCCAGACCACACAGUGAGCCAAAGCAGGCUGACCCCGCAGGGACAGUCGGGCUGGGUCUGGCACAUCCCAGGAACACAGGCCCGACACCUGAUCUGGUCCAUCGACCGUUUCACACACCUGGCCAGGUAACUGAAGAUGAGUUAGCUCACAUUGUCUCAGGCCCCUGACGUGGAGAUUGGUCACAGCAGUGCCGAGGACGGUGCCAUCCUCCGUACUUGCCGAAGGAUCCAGAGUGUGUCCCCUGCGAGAAUGCACAUCUCACCUCCUUCAAUGAAAGCGCAAACCUCACUCCUGUCCCCUUGGGAAACGGCCCAGGCCAGUCCUGCAGGAAACCCAGGGUCACCCUGGCCCGGCCCUCCUAAGCCCACGGCCUGAAGUCUCGAUGCUGCUUCUUCCAGCUGGCUCGUGGCUGACUCCUCUUCCUCUGGGUGUUUCUCAGUCUGAACACACAGGGAAGCUGGUAUCCUACGCAGGCUCAGGAAGCGGGAAGUGGACGUUCAGUCUGGGGUGCUUAGUUUUAAAGCAGCUGAGCCAAGGUCCACAGGAAAUGCUUCUCAGAGAACUGAGUCCUGAGCUGAAGGCUCAGAGAGGGGCGCAGGCUGGGGUCCCCAGAAUGCCUGGGUUCCGGGCACACGGGGCCUGGGAGGGGCCCGCAACAGGAGCCAAAGGCUGGUGCUGAGGCAGGGGACUUGCUAUGAGGGGUCAAGGGAGAGGGAAGGUUAGGGAAAGACAACAGGUGUUCUCAGAAACAAGGGAUUUGUCACUCAGUCAUCACGAACAUCACUGUUUAAUUAGUGAGAAAUCGUUAAGGGUACACGUGGAAGAAGGGAGGAUUUGGAUACCCAGGAGUGAUUUUCCCAGCGAGGGAGAGGUUGUCUGUCCUGAAUGCUUGAGCUCAAAUCCGUAUCAAAUCUAAAAAUCUUCAAAGUAGGUGGCACACACCUGGGAUCUGGGCUACUCAGGAGGCUGAGGCAGGAGAGUCACAAAUUGGAGGCCAGCCUCUGCUGCUUAGCCAGACCCUGCCUCUAAAUAAACGACAUAGGGCUGAGGGUGUAGGUCGGUGGAAGAGCCCUUACCUGCAUGCACAGGAAACAGGGUUCCCUCCCAGUUCUGUGGGAAAAGUCAGUCAAGACAGGCAGAAGGAUUUGCAGGUAGAAACCCCAUCUCCGUCCCGAGUCUGCAGGUGUCUGUUCCUGCUGGCACUUCCCCACUCGUGUGCUGGUGGCAGGUCAUGUGACUGCGUGCUGCACAUUAGACCCAUGCCCACAUGGAGCGACGCUGCGGAUGGGAUGUCUAGCCCCUGGGUUCAGGUGGUGGAAUCCUCAGCCAGGUGUUGAAGGGGGACCCAAAUGCAGAUGUGAUGUCCUCCGUGUUAUUUUUGUGCUAAGAGAGAAGAGGCCUGGGUGGGGGAGAUUAGGGAGGACAACGGGAGGGCAGGUCUGGGGAGGGAUGCAGACGUGAACUCCAGUACUCAGGUGACGUCCUGAGGCAGAUAAGCAAGGACAUGCACGGGACUUCACGGGACUUCAGAAUGUCCUGUGGACGCUGGCGUUAGAGGGCUACUCCGGCAUGGCUGAGGGCUGCUUGAGGGAAGGACGCUUCUUCUGCAUCCGCAAUAAUGUGGGAGAGUGCCUGGCCACGGGGGCAGACCCUGGAGCUCUGGAGCCACAGGAAGAGCGUGUCAGACCAGCGACCGGCCCUGAGACCUCGCCCAGAGAGCUCCUGGGCUUUCUCCCGGCUGCUGGGACGGGUGGGUGUGUGGGGCAGCAGACGUCUGUGCUGCUGCGUGUGAGCGGAAACUCGCCAACGGCACGAGACUCGGUCCUGCCCGGGUUCCACUUCUGUUUUCACUCUUUUCUUUAUCUCAAGGGUCUUGAACCCUGGCGUUUCCCACUCAUAUAACUUCCACUCGGCAAGGCUGACACGUUGAGGAGAGUUGAUUUAAAUAAGUUUAUCUUGUGGGCUCUCUCCAUCUGCCACCCCUUACCUCCUCCAACUACUGUGACAAAGGUCUGCAGAGAGGCCAGGACACGGGUCCAGAUGUCCUCGGAAGCUGCUCAGUCGGUAAUCGCCUUUGGACCUGCUGAAUGCACCCGUCCUGGCCACUGGGGCUCUUGUAUCCAAGGCCGUGAACAGCCGUCUGGGGCUGUACUGAAGCUCUGAAGGGCGUUUCCUGUGAAGCGGUUUCUAGAAAGACGUCCAGCUUUAUGAGAAUCGGAGCUCAUGGCCAGACAUCCCCUAGCCCCGGCUCUGGCCCCCGUCUGUGAUGUGGACGCUCUCCUGGGGCUGCAGUAGGCAGGUCAUUUCCAGCCUCAUUUGGCCCAGACAAGAAGCGAGCGUCCCCCGAAUUGCAGGUCCUCCCAGGGAACGGCUUCACCACCCCUGUCUGUUCCACUUAGCCUCUGGAACCGACGGAGCAGCACAAGUGGAGGGAGGGAUCUGCACGCUCAGCAUCAGGCCGGGGAGAUGCACCCCCACCCAUGUCCAGAGGCCCCCAGCCUUGGCAGAGGAGGCAGCAGGAUGGCACCCCAGCCAGAGAGUUCUGGGGGCAACAGGAGAGGCAGGGCCCGGAUCAGUCACCCAGAGCCCUACCCUCGGAGCUCCUUCCUGCCACUCCCCUGGGCCCAGGUCCUGAGUCCUGGGUCCUGGGGUGGCCCUGGCAUUGAGCAGUGUUCCGCUCUGGAGGCUGCAGGGCCUCCCCUGGAGAGGCCGCUCAGAGCAUCCUUGGGUCUGUGCCAGGGGACCAGGGAGUGAGCGGCCGCCCAUCUGUCUCCUGUUCCGAGCCAUGAGAAAUGGCGUGGUGAUUGUGUAACACGGAGCCACCCCAAGAACAAGUUGGUCAGGCAGCGGCGGCACCGGCAGCAGCAAGCCGGAGCUGAAUUCCAUUUAAAUAAAAUGCCAAACGGCAGUCAGUGAAAGUGACAUUUAUGGUGUUACUACAAAUGCAUUCAGUGGGAAAGCGCAGCGGCAGAAGCAGGGGGAAAACCAGCCGUGGUGGAAACUGCCAUCUGUAUAUUGUGCCCCGUUUUUAAUAUUCUGUAUUCUCAUAAAAAGUGUUGUUUCUGUCACUAUUCAAUCUCACAAACUCACACAGAACACUGUUAAAAGUCAGCAGUGUGUGAAAUGGUAUUUUAAAAUAAAUGAAACCCGCUCUCAGAGCUGCGGAGGAAUAUUGCAAUGCCGGGCGCUGACAGACAGGCACUGAAAAGUAACAACCGUUAUCAUCUUAAAGCAAAGCGGAUUAAAUAAAAACCCACAGCCAGCGGUGCAUUACCAAGUCUGAUAUUGACACAGCUGCGCCGUGGUUAUUUUUCAUUGUCUCAUCAAGACAGAGCAUCAUGGGGUAUCAAUCUUCCCUCUGUCAGGCGGGCCCGGGUAAAGUUUUUCGUUUACAUUUUCAUUAUAUC